This 71-nucleotide transfer RNA is filed under the name Dipodomys ordii (Ord's kangaroo rat). It matches the Rfam family "tRNA". Rfam says of the family: Transfer RNA (tRNA) molecules are approximately 80 nucleotides in length. Their secondary structure includes four short double-helical elements and three loops (D, anti-codon, and T loops). Further hydrogen bonds mediate the characteristic L-shaped molecular structure. tRNAs have two regions of fundamental functional importance: the anti-codon, which is responsible for specific mRNA codon recognition, and the 3' end, to which the tRNAs corresponding amino acid is attached (by aminoacyl-tRNA synthetases). tRNAs cope with the degeneracy of the genetic code in two manners: having more than one tRNA (with a specific anti-codon) for a particular amino acid; and 'wobble' base-pairing, i.e. permitting non-standard base-pairing at the 3rd anti-codon position. Lineage: Eukaryota; Metazoa; Chordata; Mammalia; Rodentia; Heteromyidae. The record is from Rfam by way of RNAcentral.
GGUGCUGUACCUCAAGUGGUAGAGUACUUGCCUUGCAUGCAUGAGGCCCUGGGUUCGAUUCCUCAGCACCA